AUAUGAACUUUAAAGUAGUUUUUUCCAAUUAUGUGGUGAAAGUCAUUGGUAGCUUGAUGGGGAUGGCAUUAAAUCUAUAAAUUACCUCUGGCAGUAUGGCCGUUUUCACGAUAUUGAUUCUUCCUAUCCAGGAGCAUGGAAUGUUCUUCCAUUCAAUUAUUUGUCUAUGAGUCUCAUAAUCCCCACCAGAUUGUGAGUUUGUGGAAGGUGGGGGCAAUGAUUCAUCUCAGAAUUUGCCACAGCACUUGCCACAGCACUUAACACCUAGUAUAUGGUAGGUAUUUAUUGGCUUAAUUUAUUAAGUCUCUAAGUAAAUGAAUGUAUUCGCCAAACUGACUGUUGGACUACUUGAAAUUCACAGAGCUCAGAGCAGCUAAACCUUGAAAGUAGAUAAAAAUCACCAGGAGACCUGGCUCACCUGGGUCUCAUUCUGAUCCAGUCAAAGGUUGUCAUUAUGUACAGCAACCUUGCUUUUUGUCCCUGGGGAGCACUCCAGGCUAACCCAUCCCACUGGCACCAAAGCCCUUUCCCAUCAUCCCCACCACACCCUGGAAGCUUAGAACAUGUCAUUAUCCUCCCUCAUAUGUCAGUCCACAAGAUGCCAAGUAGAUCCCUAACACUCCUUGCAGUGAUAACAAGAUAACAUAGUGACAAAGUACUUUGAACUUCACAGGUUCCAUUCACCCUGCAGUUAUGGCUAUUACCGUGCCCAGAAGCCACCACCAGGGGGCUCCAGCAUGUCUCUGAAACCUGGCUGUUCAGUAAGUCUAUGAGAAAGACUGGAGGAAAACUCCGAAGUCUUAAUUUCCAUUCCCAAGACACAGAAAUGCUGGACAAUCCCAACUGACCCCCUCACCCGAGAGCACAGCCGGGGAGGGUCCCAGGGCCCAAUGAGGAACAAGUGCUUGUCUUGUCCCUGCAGAUUUGAGAAUCCUUGGGUGAGAAUUAUGUGGAUUUCAAGUUUUCUAGGAAGGACAGGGAAGGAGGACUGGAAAAUCAGAGCUGGUAGUUCAAAUUUUUAGUCAGAUCUGGUUACUUUCUCCCAAGGCAAGUAACCCAAGAAAGUACCAGAAAUCUUACACUAGCUCCACUAUAUUAUGGUUUAGUAGUAUUAGUGUCAACAUUAACAUUGUUGAAAAAUACAAUUGCAAUUUUUUGAGCACAUGCUAUACAACAGGCAUUGUACUUUUUUCUCUGUACAUGAUAUCAUUUGACCCUCACGUUGCCCCUGUGAAGAAUUAUGAUUAUUAGGAAACUAAGGUUCAGAAGAAUAAGUGAUAUCCCAAGGUCACAUGGCUUCUAAAGGCCAGACAGUCCAAGGCAGAGUGGAGCACAUGAGCAAAGACACAG
This 1350-nucleotide long non-coding RNA is filed under the name Homo sapiens (human). RNAcentral describes it as "HSALNT0172158". Lineage: Eukaryota; Metazoa; Chordata; Mammalia; Primates; Hominidae. The record is from RNAcentral.